Molecule: unclassified non-coding RNA, 340 nt
Filed under: soil metagenome
Description: partial contains 5.8S ribosomal RNA, internal transcribed spacer 2, and large subunit ribosomal RNA
Rfam family: 5.8S ribosomal RNA (bases 1-120)
Source: RNAcentral
GAUGAAGAACGCAGCGAAAUGCGAUAAGUAGUGUGAAUUGCAGAAUUCAGUGAAUCAUCGAAUCUUUGAACGCACAUUGCGCCCUUUGGUAUUCCAAAGGGCAUGCCUGUUCGAGCGUCAUUUGUACCCUCAAGCUUUGCUUGGUGUUGGGCGUCUUGUCUCUAGCUUUGCUGGAGACUCGCCUUAAAGUAAUUGGCAGCCGGCCUACUGGUUUCGGAGCGCAGCACACGUCGCACUCUCUAUCAGCAAAGGUCUAGCAUCCAUUAAGCCUUUUUUUCAACUUUUGACCUCGGAUCAGGUAGGGAUACCCGCUGAACUUAAGCAUAUCAUAAGCGGAGGA